AAGACUAUAGACCUGCGGAGUACCUGCGGAAGGAUCAUUAUCGUAUUGUAACAAUUGGGGGGGCCACCGUGGGCUGUCGCUGACCCUUUGAAAGGGGGGUCGUGCACGCUCCCAUAGUGUCAUCCUCAUACAAUCCAACUCACCUCUGUGCAUCACCGCGUGGGUUCCUUUCUGGGUCGAGUCAGACUGGCUCAGAAAAAAGGGGCUUGCGUUUUCCAUACAAAUACCCUUAUAAAUCCA
RNAcentral lists this unclassified non-coding RNA (240 nucleotides) under soil metagenome. RNAcentral's name for it is "partial contains 5.8S ribosomal RNA, internal transcribed spacer 2, and large subunit ribosomal RNA". The record is from RNAcentral.